UACAGAGGUUGCAAGGGUUAAUCGAAAUUACUGGGCGUAAAGCGCGCGUAGGUGGCUUGAUAAGCCGGUUGUGAAAGCCCCGGGCUAAACCUGGGAACGGCAUCCGGAACUGUCAAGCUAGAGUGCAGGAGAGGAAGGUAGAAUUCCCGGUGUAGCGGUGAAAUGCGUAGAGAUCGGGAGGAAUAGCAGUGGCGAAGGCGGCCUUCUGGACUGACACUGACACUGAGGUGCGAAAGCGUGGGUAGCAAACAGG
Molecule: unclassified non-coding RNA, 253 nt
Filed under: uncultured Halomonadaceae bacterium
Lineage: Bacteria; Pseudomonadati; Pseudomonadota; Gammaproteobacteria; Oceanospirillales; Halomonadaceae
Description: contains 16S-23S intergenic spacer region
Rfam family: Bacterial small subunit ribosomal RNA
Source: RNAcentral